GAAUCCAAACAAAGAGAAAGACCCUUUUCCCCGGGGUCCCCAAGGGCCCCCUACGGCAGCAUCUCUCUGCCUUGUCUGCUGAAGACCAGGGCCAGGCAGGGUUUGCUGAGGGCUGAGUCCUGCGUCUGGAAUGUUGAGUCAAAGAAACAAUUCUCAGGAUUGCAACAUACCACGGUAGCCUCGGUCAGCGCUCAAGGAAAGGAGCUAGAAUCAGAUGGACAUCGUUGACUUCGGAAUGGAACUAAGAUAUGAGUCCAAGAGUGAAGGACACCUCCUGGUCACAAGGCAUCAGAUGAUCAUUUCCCACUUUACCACCUCCAGACCCUUAUCUGAUUGAUUGAUUGAUUGAUUGGCUGUGGUUGAUUCCUGGGAUGUGCACGUGGCCUGUGUCCCAGCUGCUUAUGAGCCACAGCACGAAGCCUUGACAAAGUCAGCGGCGGAACCUUGUCUGGGGAGGAACAUGACUCCGUUUGCUGCUGCUACUGCUGCCCCCUGAUUCACAGAUGUUUCCGCGUGGGAUUCCGUGUCCAUAAGAUCGAGUGACUGAUCCAUAGUAUGUUAUAACUAAAGCCAGAGACGGACAUCAAAGAAAGUACAUUGAGGAAUGUUUAUAUAAUUCAAGGAAUUAUUAAUUCAUUCCGCUGCUGAUAUUUCUUUUGUCUAACCUUCACCGGGAGAGAGUAUAGGAUGGCCGUUGUAAGCCAGAUGCCUGACCUUGAACUCAGACUCUAGAGAGCACAGGUCUGU
Long non-coding RNA from Prionailurus viverrinus (fishing cat), 747 nucleotides. RefSeq lists it as uncharacterized. NCBI's taxonomy places the organism in Eukaryota, Metazoa, Chordata, Mammalia, Carnivora, Felidae. The record is from RefSeq and is a predicted model, not a curated record. The transcript is spliced from 3 exons.